Molecule: ribosomal RNA, 443 nt
Filed under: uncultured bacterium
Lineage: Bacteria
Description: SSU rRNA
Rfam family: Bacterial small subunit ribosomal RNA
Source: RNAcentral
AGAACGAACGCUGGCGGCACGCCUAACACAUGCAAGUCGAGCGCCCAGCAAUGGGAGCGGCGGACGGGUGAGGAACACGUGGGAACAUGCCUUUCGGUUCGGCACAACUGCGGGAAACUGCAGCUAAUUCCGGAUACGCCCUUACGGGGAAAGAUUUAUCGCCGAAAGAUUGGCCCGCGUCUGAUUAGCUAGUUGGUGAGGUAAUGGCUCACCAAGGCUUCGAUCAGUAGCUGGUUUGAGAGAACGACCAGCCACACUGGGACUGAGACACGGCCCAGACUCCUACGGGAGGCAGCAGUGGGGAAUAUUGGACAAUGGGCGAAAGCCUGAUCCAGCCAUGCCGCGUGGAUGAUGAAGGCCUUAGGGUUGUAAAGUCCUUUUAACGGGGAAGAUAAUGACGGUACCCGUAGAAUAAGCCCCGGCUACUUCGUGCCAGCAGCCGC